CAGGGUUUGCUUGCAAACCGCUGACGACCGGCGCACGGGUGCGUAACGCGUAUAGAACCUACCCUUUACAGGGAGAUAGCCCGGAGAAAUCCGGAUUAAUAUCCCAUAGUAAUAUUUUAUGGCAUCGUAAGAUAUUUAAAGUUACGGCGGUAAAGGAUGGCUAUGCGUCUUAUUAGCUAGUAGGUGAGGUAACGGCUUACCUAGGCUACGAUAAGUAGGGGCCCUGAGAGGGGGAUCCCCCACACUGGUACUGAGACACGGACCAGACUCCUACGGGAGGCAGCAGUGAGGAAUAUUGGACAAUGGGCGGAAGCCUGAUCCAGCCAUGCCGCGUGCAGGAAGACAGCCCUACGGGUUGUAAACUGCUUUUAUACAGGAAGAAUAAGGGGUACGUGUACCCUGGUGACGGUACUGUAAGAAUAAGGACCGGCUAACUCCGUGCCAGCAGCCGCGGUAAUACGGAGGGUCCGAGCGUUAUCCGGAAUCAUUGGGUUUAAAGGGUCCGCAGGCGGGCAAUUAAGUCAGGGGUGAAAUGCUGCAGCUCAACUGUAGCACUGCCCUUGAUACUGGUUGUCUUGAGUUAUAGUGGAGUGGCUGGAAUAUGUAGUGUAGCGGUGAAAUGCAUAGAUAUUACAUAGAACACCAAUCGCGAAGGCAGGUCACUAACUAUUAACUGACGCUGAUGGACGAAAGCGUGGGGAGCGAACGGGAUUAGAUACCCCGGUAGUCCACGCCGUAAACGAUGGAUACUAGCUGUUGGGUUUUCUUAACUCGGUGGCCAAGCGAAAGUGAUAAGUAUCCCACCUGGGGAGUACGUUCGCAAGAAUGA
RNAcentral lists this ribosomal RNA (829 nucleotides) under uncultured bacterium. RNAcentral's name for it is "bacterial SSU rRNA". It matches the Rfam family "Bacterial small subunit ribosomal RNA", at positions 70 to 897 of the family's 1533-position model. The record is from RNAcentral.